UACGGAGGAUCCAAGCGUUAUCCGGAUUUAUUGGGUUUAAAGGGCGCGUAGGCGGCUCGGCACGUCCGUUGUGAAAUCGCCCGGCUCAACUGGGCGGGGUCAGCGGAUACGGUCGAGCUUGAGCAAGCUAGGGGGUAAUGGAAUUCCCGGUGUAGUGGUGGAAUGCGUAGAUAUCGGGAGGAACACCAGUGGCGAAGGCGGUUACCUGGGGCUUUGCUGACGCUGAUGCGCGAAAGCGUGGGGAGCGAUCCGG
RNAcentral lists this ribosomal RNA (253 nucleotides) under uncultured bacterium. RNAcentral's name for it is "partial 16S ribosomal RNA". It matches the Rfam family "Bacterial small subunit ribosomal RNA", at positions 524 to 776 of the family's 1533-position model. The record is from RNAcentral.